CUGAGGAUGCAGAGAUGAAUGAGACACGAUGUGGCACUGUCCUCAAGGUGCUCUCGAAUCGGUGUUGGGGGAAUGUGGUGAAAAGAAAAGAAAGAGGGAAGUCAGAGACACAGGCGGCUCACACAGGAGGAGGAGGUAGAAAUAUUCCUGCUCCAUGUUUCCUUUUUGCCCUCUGGACUGAGUCCUUUUGACGAAAGAACACUCAGAACCUGCUGAGCUUUGGGCUGGCACUGGGAUUCACUCACUCUCAGACAAAGCCUCGGAUGCACAGCAGUGGUUCCGGUUGGGUCUUCACCUCCUCUCCUCUGGAACAGCGUGUGCAUCAAAACAGGGAAAUCACCUGUGGGAUUCCCAUAUGUAAAACACACCUCAAAUUGGAGCCACCUGCGUGAAGGAGGUUUCAUGAACACCGAAAACACCAGCCUUUGGCUUUUCCUCAGUGAGAGCCCACAGCGCCUCCUUGUGGACUAUCUGAUAAACUGGAACCAGUUCUCGCAGGGCUGAAGGACGGUGGUCACCUAGAGGCAUUGCCCAGGAUCUGCACUGCGCUGUCCACCCAGGAAUUACUCUGUUUUCUUCUACUUUUAAAUAAAUUUGGGAGAUGGGCUGGGUGUGGUGGCUCACACCUGUAAUUUCAGCGUUUUGGAAGACCGAGGCGGGAGGACGGCGUGGGACCAGGAGUUCAUGACUGGCCUGGGCAACACAGUGAGACCCUGUCUCUAUUUUAAACAACGACAACAACAUAUUUAAAAAAUAAAAAUAAGAAAAUAAAUUUGGAAGAUGAACACAUUCUAUUUUAAUUCUGUUAGUGAUCAGUAAAACUGGCUUAAAAGCUGAGUUUCCUUUGGUUCCCUUUUGUUUUAUAAAAAAUGUCUGUGUGUACCUUUGUCAACAGCCUGAAUCCUAUGAAUCACAGGUUCCCCUGGGGAAGAUGGGGGUUUGAGUUUGGUUUCUUACUUGUGUUUAUAGGGUUCUGGGCAACUUGGGAGGGCGAGACACUAUGCCCUCAUGGGAUAACACUAAUU
RNAcentral lists this long non-coding RNA (1025 nucleotides) under Homo sapiens (human). RNAcentral's name for it is "HSALNT0153862". Lineage: Eukaryota; Metazoa; Chordata; Mammalia; Primates; Hominidae. The record is from RNAcentral.